RNAcentral lists this ribosomal RNA (222 nucleotides) under uncultured bacterium. RNAcentral describes it as "partial 16S ribosomal RNA". It matches the Rfam family "Bacterial small subunit ribosomal RNA", at positions 109 to 334 of the family's 1533-position model. The record is from RNAcentral.
AGUAAUGUAUGGGGAUCUGCCCGAUAGAGGGGGGUAACUACCGGAAACGGUGGCUAAUACCGCAUAAUGUCUACGGACCAAAGCAGGGGCUCUUCGGACCUUGCACUAUCGGAUGAACCCAUAUGGGAUUAGCUAGUAGGUGGGGUAAAGGCUCACCUAGGCGACGAUCUCUAGCUGGUCUGAGAGGAUGAUCAGCCACACUGGGACUGAGACACGGCCCAG